This 508-nucleotide ribosomal RNA is filed under the name uncultured Acidobacteriota bacterium. RNAcentral describes it as "bacterial SSU rRNA". It matches the Rfam family "Bacterial small subunit ribosomal RNA", at positions 13 to 529 of the family's 1533-position model. The record is from RNAcentral. Lineage: Bacteria; Pseudomonadati; Acidobacteriota.
UUGAUCCUGGCUCAGAAUCAACGCUGGCGGCGUGCCUAACACAUGCAAGUCGAGCGAGAGAAAGUAGCAAUACUUUAGUAAAGCGGCGCACGGGUGAGUUACACGUGGAUAACCUGCCUCGAAGUGGGGAAUAACCCCGGGAAACCGGAUCUAAUACCGCAUAAUCUGACGAGAUCUGUGGAUUUUGUCAGCAAAGGAGUAAUUCGCUUUGAGAGGGGUCCGCGGCUGAUUAGCUAGUUGGUGAGGUAAUGGCUCACCAAGGCCACGAUCAGUAGCCGGUCUGAGAGGACGGUCGGCCAUACUGGAACUGAGACACGGUCCAGACUCCUACGGGAGGCAGCAGUGGGGAUUUUUUCGCAAUGGGGGCAACCCUGACGAAGCAACGCCGCGUGGGUGAUGUAGUAUUUCGGUACGUAAAACCCUUUCGACGGGGACGAAACCGCAAGGUUUACGGUACCCGUAGAAGAGGCCCCGGCUAACUCCGUGCCAGCAGCCGCGGUAAUAAGGU